GAGGAAGGUGGAUAUGUUAAUAGCAUAUUCAUUUUGACGUUUAGCUGCAGAAGAAGCACCGGGCUAACUCCCGUGCCAGCAGCCGCGGUAAUACGGAGGGUGCGAGCGUUAAUCGGAAUUACUGGGCGUAAAGCGCAUGCAGGUGGUUUGUUAAGUCAGAUGUGAAAAGCCCGGGGCUCAACCUCGGAAUUGCAUUUGAAACUGGCAAACUAGAGUACUGUAGAGGGGGUAGAAUUUCAGGUGUAGCGGUGAAAUGCGUAGAGAUCUGAAGGAAUACCGGUGGCGAAGGCGGCCCCCUGGACAGAUACUGACACUCAGAUGCGAAAGCGUGGGGAGCAAACAGGAUUAGAUACCCUGGUAG
This 361-nucleotide ribosomal RNA is filed under the name uncultured bacterium. RNAcentral's name for it is "bacterial SSU rRNA". It matches the Rfam family "Bacterial small subunit ribosomal RNA", at positions 444 to 793 of the family's 1533-position model. The record is from RNAcentral.